This is a non-coding RNA of Acanthosepion pharaonis, 101 nucleotides long. Lineage: Eukaryota; Metazoa; Mollusca; Cephalopoda; Sepiida; Sepiidae. The record is from the annotation of a GenBank genome assembly.
UUACGGCCAUAUUACGUCGAAACACCGAUUCUCAUGCGAUCACCGAAGUUAAGCAACGUCGAGCCCGGAUGGGUGACCGCUUGCGAACACCAGGUACUACA